RNAcentral lists this ribosomal RNA (342 nucleotides) under uncultured Anaerolineaceae bacterium. RNAcentral describes it as "bacterial SSU rRNA". It matches the Rfam family "Bacterial small subunit ribosomal RNA", at positions 1028 to 1378 of the family's 1533-position model. The record is from RNAcentral. Lineage: Bacteria; Bacillati; Chloroflexota; Anaerolineae; Anaerolineales; Anaerolineaceae.
GCCUCUACAGGUGUUGCAUUGGCUGUCGUCAGCUCGUGUCGUGAGAUGUUCGGUUAAGUCCGCUAACGAGCGCAACCCUCGCUGUGUGUUACAAGUGUCACACGGUACUGCCGAUAUUAAGUCGGAGGAAGGUGGGGAUGACGUCAAGUCAGCAUGACCUUUAUAUCCAGGGCUACACACACGCUACAAUGGCCAGUACAAUGGGUUGCCAAGCCGCGAGGCGGAGCCAAUCCUAAAAAGCUGGCCUCAGUUCAGAUUGCAGUCUGCAGCUCGACUGCAUGAAGUUGGAGUUGCUAGUAACCGCAGGUCAGCAAUACUGCGGUGAAUACGUUCCCGGGGAUU